This is a long non-coding RNA of Peromyscus leucopus (white-footed mouse), 353 nucleotides long. RefSeq lists it as uncharacterized. The record is from RefSeq and is a predicted model, not a curated record. The transcript has 2 exons. NCBI's taxonomy places the organism in Eukaryota, Metazoa, Chordata, Mammalia, Rodentia, Cricetidae.
UAGUGUGGCGACAUGUGCCACAGCCCAGGACAAAACUGCAGAGGAUUACUAUAGACUACUAUGCAUUUGUGCUCCCAGGGUGGGGAGCGACCACAUGCAGGAAUGUGCAGAGAGAUAACUCAGUGCCAAGGCCUCUGGCCCUGGAUUCUGGCACCUGCUUCCUGACCAUUCUUUCCACUUCCACACUUCCCAGGUUGGAUUCCUAACAGGCCCUUCUACCCCAGCUGACAAGCCACUCGCUGCCCCGCCCCCCAGAAGGUCCAUGUCUUCAGGGUGGUCAGCAGGGUCACGGCAAGCCGGAGAAGCAAUGUUAAUAGCUCUGGGCUCCACGUGGCGGCCAUUCAGGGGAAAAA